Small nucleolar RNA from Thalassophryne amazonica, 129 nucleotides. RefSeq annotates it as small nucleolar RNA SNORA77. The record is from RefSeq and is a predicted model, not a curated record. The transcript has a single exon. Lineage: Eukaryota; Metazoa; Chordata; Actinopteri; Batrachoidiformes; Batrachoididae.
GCAGACACACUCUGUUCCCUGCUGCUCACUUCAGGGUGGAACUUUUUCUGUCUGCUACAUAAACAUGCAGAACAUGUCUCCUAACUGGCUUUCUGAUAGGCUGGUGUCUGUAUGCUCUGCUACAUGACA